GUACCCUCAAGCUCUGCUUGGUGUUGGGUGUUUGUCCUCUCCUCUGCGUUUGGACUCGCCUUAAAGCAAUUGGCAGCCGGUAUUUUGGUAUUGAAGCGCAGUACAUUUUGCGAUUCUGGCCGAUAAUACUUGCGUCCAUAAGCCCUUUUAAC
RNAcentral lists this unclassified non-coding RNA (152 nucleotides) under uncultured Phaeosphaeriaceae. Its description in RNAcentral is "sequence contains ITS2". The record is from RNAcentral. Lineage: Eukaryota; Fungi; Ascomycota; Dothideomycetes; Pleosporales; Phaeosphaeriaceae.